This 31-nucleotide ribosomal RNA is filed under the name Mycobilimbia carneoalbida. RNAcentral describes it as "partial 28S ribosomal RNA". The record is from RNAcentral. Lineage: Eukaryota; Fungi; Ascomycota; Lecanoromycetes; Lecideales; Lecideaceae.
GAUUGACCUCGGAUCAAGUUGGGAUACCCUA